CGUGGUGGGAAUUUCAAUCUGUGAAUUAUCGUCAUCUUCAGAAAAUUUGUUGGUCGUAGAAAGAGAGGAAGCGUAUUUACUAACCAAAUCCUCAACAACUUUGCAUUUUUUGGUAUCUUUGUACAAAGAUUUGACAUCGACGAACACAGAUGGGAUUCCACGCUUAAGCUUUUUGCGCAAGUAAAGAUCUACAUGAGUUAAAAACUCAUCCCCUUCAAGCUUUUCUAAAGGUAGUCUCGUAGGGCACUCAGAUUUGGGAUACCUUUUAGCAAGUUGAGAAUAUAAAUUCAACCACUCAGCACUAUCCAAUACUUUACCACUGGCAUCCUCAUACCCAUACGCUCUUUGAAGAUUAUAAUAAUAUUGGUGAUUGUCUGGAUUUCGAUCAAGCAGAAGAUAUAUGGUUGAUUUGGCUUCUUCCAUUUUGGAAAGAUAAAGCUCGUACUCUGCCCGAGUCUCCAAAAACGCAACCCGAUCCAAUACCUUCUUUUCUAUUGACAGUAAAUGCUUAUAGGCAUCCUCAACACCAUCUUUUUUUAAUAUAACAAGGUUCAUGAAUAACAUGGCUUCGGAUUCUUCUUGGGUAUCAACGGGCACACCUUGAUUUAUAGUGGAUUCAAAUGCAUCCACUAUUUUAUAUGCACUAGCGUAUUCCCCUCGAAGAAAUUGAGCUACUGCUAAAGCGCUCCAAUUGGCACGUACUCCUGGAUUGUCCUGCAGCAAAGCAUUCCUAGUGUCUGCUAGAGCCUUGUAUUGACGAAGUUGAGAUUGGAGUAACGCCAAGUCACGCAAAAGACUCGAGUUGUUUUUCUCAAGCUUAUGAGCAUUAAUGUAACAUUUAGCGGCCUGUACAUAAUCUUUAUCGGCUCUGCUAAUUAGUCCGAAAAUGUGCCAACAAACACCGGAUCCAACAUCGUUGCGAAGACCAAGUCGUACGUUGUCGUAUCCUUCUUUGGUAUUACCUAAAGAGUGUAAUAA
Molecule: non-coding RNA, 978 nt
Organism: Schizosaccharomyces pombe (fission yeast)
Lineage: Eukaryota; Fungi; Ascomycota; Schizosaccharomycetes; Schizosaccharomycetales; Schizosaccharomycetaceae
Source: the annotation of a GenBank genome assembly